RNAcentral lists this unclassified non-coding RNA (591 nucleotides) under Hevea brasiliensis (rubber tree). Lineage: Eukaryota; Viridiplantae; Streptophyta; Magnoliopsida; Malpighiales; Euphorbiaceae. The record is from RNAcentral.
AUUGAAAAUCCAACGCCAGAGGAUGCACCAGAUGGGGAGUAAAUGGCUGUAUUUAUCCCAAUAAGGCUUCCUGAACUAUCAAGAAGUGGCCCUCCACUAUUACCAGGAUUAAUGGCAGCAUCUGUUUGUAUAACAUCCUGAAUAGGACGGCCAGUAGCAGCAGAACUGAUUUCUCUACGAAGCCCACUGAUGACACCAGUUGUUAAAGUGUGAUCAAGUCCAAAAGGGUUGCCGAUAGCAUAUACUUUCUGACCAACAAGCAAGUCAGCAGAAACACCAAUAGGUAUCGGUCUUAGUUUGUCCUUGGGCGCAUCAACUCGUAGUAGAGCAACAUCCUUGUCUUGGUCAAAUCCAACAACUUGUGCAUCAAAAGUUGACUGGUCGGCCAGAGUGACCUUGAGAUCAGAAGCACCGCGAAUCACAUGAUAAUUGGUGACAAUGUGACCUUCUUUGUCCCACACGAACCCUGAACCUGACCCCUGCGGCACCUCCAACACAUCCAAAGUAAAGGCAUCCUGCUUGACGGCGAGAUUGGUGAUGUAGACAACGGAGGGAGUGUUCGCUUGAAAGAGGCGAACAGUAGCAAGCUCA